CGGGGCGUGGCGCAGUCUGGGAGCGCACUUGAAUGGGGUUCAAGGGGUCGGAGGUUCAAAUCCUCUCGCCCCGACCA
RNAcentral lists this transfer RNA (77 nucleotides) under Deltaproteobacteria bacterium. Its description in RNAcentral is "tRNA-Pro". It matches the Rfam family "tRNA". Rfam says of the family: Transfer RNA (tRNA) molecules are approximately 80 nucleotides in length. The record is from RNAcentral. Lineage: Bacteria; Pseudomonadati; Myxococcota; Myxococcia. RNAcentral also lists the same sequence under 1 other name.